AUUUCCAAGUGUCCACCAUGUGCCAUCCAAAAAAUAGCAGGCCUGUGGUAAAUGCUGCAAACAUUGUCAAGGCACUGCUGACCUAGUCAAUGACCUAGACAAAUCUGCCCUAUGUGCCAGGGUCACUCUUCAGGCCUGCUGCCAUUGCAGCUUGAAACCGCACUCAGCAUUGAUAAAAAACAGUACAAACACCAUUGCCUUUUGCACAAUAUGUCACUACGUAAGAGUGCACAAGUGCCUCUUACGUCCUGCUACAGUACAUGACCUUCAGCAUAACUGAAGAACACUACACAAUACUCUGGAUGUGCAGAUGUUUCCAAAAAUACCCUCUUGUUGCAUUGCUAUUUGUUUAGACGUUCAGCACAUGGCACAGUUCUCUUUCACACCUGAUCCAAGUUUUGGUGGGUUUCAAGUGUUGGUAGAUUCAACAUCACUGAUUGAGGUACGGUAGAUAAUAAAGAAACGCUUUCCAGAAGGUUCUUGCAAGGAUCUUAAUUGGACGGUGUAAUAGAGGGUGAUUAAGGAGUAGCAAGACAAAGCAGCUGAUCUUCUAUGCUACAUAAUGUAGCUAGCGCGAUGGAUAAACCACCAGGACUGCAGUGUGGAAAACGAAAACAAUUGCUCCUGGUCCUACCUCAAUAAAAGGGUUAAAAUAUAUUGGAGUAAGCAACGACUCCAUUAUAUGAAACGAGAAGAAUGGUGAGGUGGAUGAUCCAUUCAUCUGAGGAUUUCUAACCAAUGCGGAGGAGAUGAAUACUAUUUCCAGACUUGUCCAUGUCCACAUUUGUGUCUCUUUUGUCGCCAGGUUUGCUCUUGUCCACUGUGGGCUUUUGCCUCUCAUCCCAUAUGAGAUUUUUUGUGCUUCAGUCAGGACAUUAAAUCAUUAACAUUCAUUAAAUAUUAAUCAUGAACAAGUCAUCCAUCAUUGGGUCAUGUUCAAUAUUUAGCAGUGGAUGUCUCAUGUCCGUAACUCUGAGGCUCUGUAAACUGUAAACUUUGUUUACAAAUGUUUAUUGUAUCUUCAUCAUCAGGAUGAAUCCUGCUUUUUUUUUUUUUUUAAAAAAAGUGGGACAGAUUAGUCUGUUUUCACGCAUUCAUUGUUUUUAAUACUCGGUUGAAUUCAUGAAAGGUUUUUUCUCUUUCUUUUCACUGUUAGUUUUGCACUUAUUUUUCUCUAGCCAUCGUUUUGCCAUUGUAUUCAUUUGCAGGUUCGGACAAAGGGGGGUUUAAAGCAACUCUUGCAUUUUAAGUAACUGUGUAAAUGCAGUCUGCUGCCACCAUGAGGUGAAAGGGAUAUUCAAAAAGAGAAGCUGCCAGCCAAUUAGCAUCUUUCCAGAGGCCACAUAUGGCCCUGGGGCCAGGCUUUGGAAACCCCUGAUCUAAACGAUUAGCAGUAGACAAAUGCCCAAGGUAUGACAAGAGCUUACAGUGGCUUAAAAAGGUGUAACCUGUACAAGGAGAGACUCUGACAGGUCUGGCCAUGACAUUAAUUCAUUCUUCUUCAGUAAGCGCUUUAUCUGUGUCCAGGUCAAGGUGGAUUCGGAUCCUGUUCCGGGAACACUAGGGUCAUGGUGGCUCCAGAGUCAAUCUUGGGAUGGAUGGAAUGCAGGUUCAUGACAUUUUACAGCACUUAUCAAGAGUGUCCAAAAGUGGCAGCUUGGUGGAUUUGGGUUUUAAACCUACAACCUUCCGUUCAGUAGUCAGUCUCUCUCUUCCACUCACUCUCACAAAUUCACCUACUGGUGUUUGGUAAAGUGGGAGGAAACCAGAGGGACAUAGGGAGAACAUGAGAAACUCUAGACAGUAACUCGAGCUCAGGAUCAACAUGGGGACCAUUGUGUGAGAUGGAAAUGCUAUACAUUUCACCAUCCUGUAAUAUUAGUCUAUGCUAAUGGUUAAAUGCUGUGUGUGUGUGUGUGUUCCCAGGAUAGACUCAAUUUCCAGCACAACCCUUACUAGGAUAAAGCAUUUAUUGAGGAUAAAUGAAUAAGAUGGGUUGGCACCCCACCCUGGAUGCCUUGUGCCCAGAGUACUCUGGGAUGUAGGCACCAGGUUCCAGGUCCCUUGUAAUCCUGUGGAGGUGUGUAGUAAAAAAAAAUGGGCAGCAUUGCAGGACACUGAAAAUUGAACAGCAUGACAUCUCGCUGUACUGCUUCUAUGACAACAAAUAAAGUAGCAGCGUGAAAUCUUUGAAGUGCACAAAAACAAGCACAGACAGUGUUUCACCCAAAUGGACCAACACUUGCGUAUGUUCCUCCGACCUGUUCGCGGUAGUAGUUCAGCAGCUCGGGUUCUCCGCUAAGAGCCAGAAGGUUGCGAGGUCAAAUCCCAGGACUGCUGCGUAGGCACUCUACAAGACCUUGAUAUAAACCUUUCUGUCAGUGUUUGCUACACUAUGGGGCACUUGAGGACCAGAGACACCUCUGACUCAGUGUAAUCAUCCCUGACCUUUCUUGAGGUGUCUGCUGAAGUGAGUGUGGGGGUAUUCUAGGGGGAAACAUGGGGGAAAAAAAUCAAUAUCGCAAUCGUGAUGUUUGGUUUAUGAACCUGACGCUUUGAUUUCAAGUAUCAGCCAAGAAAUCAUUCCAACUGGUGAAAAUCUAUUCACAAACCUAUUCUUUAUCAUAUAUUUCAAUGCAAAUUUAACGCCCCCCCCCCAGCAUUACUUAGCUUUACUCAUCUCUAAACUACAACUGAAAGGAGAGAAAGACGAACAGACUCGUUCCAUCAGCACAAUGCUUCCCCCUUGUGGACACCUACAUUACUGCACGCACUGAAAGUGGUUACUAUAGUAAUACAUCGUUUAAAUAAAGAUGUAGAGCAACUCAGAAAUCAUAGAAUCUACAUUCAACUAUUUAUCUCCAUUAAAUAUCCCCAAAACCUCUUCUCAACAUCUUUUACCCAAACUGAAUAUAUUCCUGUUUUUGUUUUGUCUUUUUGCAAAAUAAACGAUUAGACAUCAGUAAAAGUUGCAUAGAUGCACUUACACUUUAAUCCCAAUGAAGAAAUUAAAAUAUGCAAACUAGAAAUGCCACCAUCCCUACACAUGCC
Long non-coding RNA from Tachysurus fulvidraco (yellow catfish), 3051 nucleotides. RefSeq lists it as uncharacterized. NCBI's taxonomy places the organism in Eukaryota, Metazoa, Chordata, Actinopteri, Siluriformes, Bagridae. The record is from RefSeq and is a predicted model, not a curated record. The transcript is spliced from 5 exons.